AAAUUGAAGAGUUUGAUCAUGGCUCAGAUUGAACGCUGGCGGCAGGCCUAACACAUGCAAGUCGAACGGUAACAGGGAUCAGCUUGCUGAUUCGCUGACGAGUGGCGGACGGGUGAGUAAUGUCUGGGAAACUGCCUGAUGGAGGGGGAUAACUACUGGAAACGGUAGCUAAUACCGCAUAACGUCGCAAGACCAAAGAGGGGGACCUUCGGGCCUCUUGCCAUCGGAUGUGCCCAGAUGGGAUUAGCUAGUAGGUGGGGUAACGGCUCACCUAGGCGACGAUCCCUAGCUGGUCUGAGAGGAUGACCAGCCACACUGGAACUGAGACACGGUCCAGACUCCUACGGGAGGCAGCAG
This 357-nucleotide ribosomal RNA is filed under the name Escherichia coli. Its description in RNAcentral is "bacterial SSU rRNA". It matches the Rfam family "Bacterial small subunit ribosomal RNA", at positions 1 to 354 of the family's 1533-position model. Lineage: Bacteria; Pseudomonadati; Pseudomonadota; Gammaproteobacteria; Enterobacterales; Enterobacteriaceae. The record is from RNAcentral.